GUUGAUCCUGGCUUAGGAUGAACGCUAGCGAUAGGCCUAACACAUGCAAGUCGAGGGGCAGCAUAGAGUAGCAAUACUUGAUGGCGACCGGCGCACGGGUGAGUAACACGUAUGCAACCUACCUACAUCAGGGGAAUAACCCGGAGAAAUUCGGACUAAUACCGCAUAAUACAGGGAUGCCGCAUGGCAAUAUUUGUUAAAGAUUUAUCGGAUGUAGAUGGGCAUGCGUUCCAUUAGCUAGUUGGUAAGGUAACGGCUUACCAAGGCAACGAUGGAUAGGGGAACUGAGAGGUUUGUCCCCCACACUGGAACUGAGACACGGACCAGACUCCUACGGGAGGCAGCAGUGAGGAAUAUUGGUCAAUGGACGAGAGUCUGAACCAGCCAAAUCGCGUGAAAAGGAAGACUGCCCUACGGGUUGUAAACUUCUUUUGUACAGGAAUAAAAGACAUUACGUGUAAUGUAUUGCAUGUACUGUACGAAUAAGCAUCGGCUAACUCCGUGCCAGCCGCCGC
RNAcentral lists this ribosomal RNA (515 nucleotides) under uncultured bacterium. Its description in RNAcentral is "bacterial SSU rRNA". It matches the Rfam family "Bacterial small subunit ribosomal RNA", at positions 11 to 518 of the family's 1533-position model. The record is from RNAcentral.